This is a non-coding RNA of Heterocephalus glaber (naked mole-rat), 1038 nucleotides long. The record is from RefSeq and is a predicted model, not a curated record. NCBI's taxonomy places the organism in Eukaryota, Metazoa, Chordata, Mammalia, Rodentia, Bathyergidae.
GCAAAAUAAGGGCCGCGGAUUUAGCUCAGUGGUUUUGUUGCCUGCUGUGAAAGUGCAAGGACCUGAGUUCGAUCCCCGGUACCAAAAAAAAAAAGAGAGCAAAAUAAAGGAUGAUAAUGGAAAUCGGGGAGACAAAUUUUUCACAGAUGGGAAGGGGACCAAGAAUGGAGGGAGGGGAGCAGAAGGGGAUGAAAGAAGAACUUAACACGCAUUAUGCACAUGUGCUAGCUCCCCAAGAGGAGUGAAAUCAAUAUGCACUGCAAGCAUGCAGCAUGCAGUAAUUGCCCAGGCUGGUCUCAGAUUUGUGAUCCUCCUGCCUCAGCCUCCCAGAGUGCUGGGAUUAUAGGAGUGUGCCACUGUGCUUAACUAGGGUUUGCAUUUUAAAUGUCUUACCAAACCUACAUGCUCAAAGGCUCAGUGGCGGCCAGCCUGUGCUGCUGCUGGGGGAUGGUGAACCUGUUAGGGUGCUGGGCUUAGAAGGAGGAAGUGAGGUCAUAGAGGGUGUGGCCUCAAAGGGGACCUUGGAACCCUGGACUCUUCCCCUUUCUCUCUCUUUGCUUCUUGCCAAGGAAGCCCUAAGCUACAGGGCCAAAGAUCAUGGACGAAACCUCUGAAGCCAUGAGCCUGGAUAAAACCUCAGUAUGCCUUGUUUAUCUCAGGUAUCUGUCACAGAGAUGGAAGAUAUCGCUAGAAGUUCUUUGAAAUCAUGAAGAAGUUUCUUCUUAUACAAGAGCAAAGCAAGAAGAAAUGGGAAGUUUGGGACGGGGCUAGAGCUGCAAGAGGAGGCUGAGAAGCAAGAGAAUCUGUGACAGUACCAGGGCUCCAGGGGCGUUGGGAUCCAGAGCGCAGCUGUCAGGUGAGUUCUCGGCUUCACCUCGGAGUUCUCCGCUCCGCGCCAGGGGAGGCGGCUUAGGAGCAAGUCGGGGGUGGAGAGGCGCCCAGGUAGGCCCGGCCCCUCCCCGCCCUGCCUGUCUUCCCACCUCCGACCCGACUGCUCUCCCAAACCGUGCCCCGCGCAGCCCCCCUGCAGCCCCCGAG